Long non-coding RNA from Ctenopharyngodon idella (grass carp), 674 nucleotides. RefSeq lists it as uncharacterized. NCBI's taxonomy places the organism in Eukaryota, Metazoa, Chordata, Actinopteri, Cypriniformes, Xenocyprididae. The transcript has 6 exons. The record is from RefSeq and is a predicted model, not a curated record.
AAAAUGCAGAAACAUACUGACUGAUGAAACGUGAAGACAAUGAACAUACCAUUGCGACAAGAUAUGGUUUGUGUGUUUUUCAAGCCAUCUCAAGUUUUCAGUCAGGCGACUGGAGCAGAGACCUGGAGGGCAAAACAUCCAUAGAACUGCAGGACAGGCCUGUCAAUUGCGUCUCAAAAAAGGCAAUAUCAACACCAUACAACAGGCCCUGCUCUCCUCACCAAGAACAACACCCGAGCCAUCACGGACAUGGAAAGGUCUUGACACCUUGCCAAGAGCUGGAUUUUUUUGGAACAGGUGCAUCAACAUGUCCAGGGCCUAACUGUGGCAGGAUGGUAGACACAUAAAAAAGAUACAUGACUGAACAGAUGUGACACAGACAAUACCUCCUGAUCCGAGUCUCUUCAGCCAGCGGAUGCCAUGACGAGUGAUGGGGAGCUCAUUGAGCUGCACACAGUCCUCAAGCAGCUGUCCAGAUGAGGAUGUGCCCAAGAAGAUGCCAGUGUUGGUUGAGGAACUGUGUAGCAAAAACAGAGAGAACUGUAUGGAGAUGUUUGGGAAGAGUGAGAGUGAUUAUCAGAGUGGUAAAAUGUGCAGACGUGUGACAGGCCAGACCAUCCCUACUGAAAAAACAGCAUAUGCUGGUUAAGGUAGGUUUUGGAGCUGGUAUGCUG